CAGGUGCGGAACCAAUGGAGAAGUCACCACGACCUUGGCUAAGCCCCCCUCUGGAGAUGGGCUGCCUUCAAGAACACUCAAAAAAAUCACUGGAGCUGGACCAGAAGGAGGCUGGAAUAAGGUGGAUCCAGCUGUCACCUGCCUAGAUGAGGCCCACAACAAAUGGGACGGUUGUGGCCCGAGAAUGGAUCCACCUUGUUUCCUCCCAAGGACUGGAGGGGAACUGAAGGGCAGCUAUGAGGUGCAUCUCGCCGGCCAGAGAGGCGCUCAGUGCUGGGUGCGGAACCAAUGGAGAAAUCACCACGACCUUGGCUAAGCCCCCCUCUGGAGAUGGGUGAGUCUCACCAGGGCCCCAUCUGGGAAAACAAAACAGUCCCAUUGAUGAC
This 386-nucleotide long non-coding RNA is filed under the name Macaca mulatta (Rhesus monkey). RNAcentral describes it as "lncRNA (ENSMMUG00000059378.1)". Lineage: Eukaryota; Metazoa; Chordata; Mammalia; Primates; Cercopithecidae. The record is from RNAcentral.